Molecule: long non-coding RNA, 5377 nt
Filed under: Vitis vinifera (wine grape)
Lineage: Eukaryota; Viridiplantae; Streptophyta; Magnoliopsida; Vitales; Vitaceae
Description: long non-coding RNA (VVIN_LNC005963)
Source: RNAcentral
AGAAUGAGGAUGGACUUCAAUUCUUCACUCUGUUAAAAAUUUAAUGAAAAUUCUCAUGAAGAUCAUAAUACUAACAAUGAGAUACAUUGUUAGGAAUGAAGAUACAAUGCACCAAGAAUUGCAAUCAUCAAAUCUAUCACAAUGGGGGGAAAAUUGUUGUGUGAAAAUUAACAUCAAAAUGCAUAGUAGGCCAUCUUGCACUAUUUAUGGAUAACCAACAUCCUAAGAGCUAACAAAUAAAUAUAUGACAUCCUCCCAUAUUGCAGUGUUACAAAUCUCCAACCACCACCACAAUCGUUCUUGGUUCACUGCAGAAAACGUGGGGAGCAAUAAUUUAUAAAUGCAUUUCUAGAUCGACAUUUUCUUCAAUUUCUGUUGCAAACCAGGGUAAGUGAAUCCAGAUAUCUCAGGGUAGUUGUUAUAGCGAAGAAAGCCCACACCAGAAUAAUGAAUUGAGCCACUUGAACAACAAAUUUCAAGGUGUGCAAAACAUAACAUACCUAAAUAUAGAGGAUCUUCGGGAUAAAUACAUGUGUUCUUUGAGUUUUGAAUUUGACAACAUGAUUCAUUAUCCAUGUAAGGCUGUUGAUAUUCUUUAAGAUGAGAAAUUUGAAGUGGUGAAGGCAUUGAUGAAAGUAAACCUCCAGUGAUUGAGGAAUCUGGACCAUGGACAUUUCCUGGUUCCCCAACUAGGUCAACUACAUAUUCCCUGUUAAGAAAUACACAUGGAUAUAAACAAGCAGAUAUCUUCUACAUCAAGUUGAGAAUUGAUCACAUGAUAAAGUGUGAAUAUAACAAAAGCAACACAAGGAAAAAGAAAUUGGAAUACAACUUAACAAUUAUCAAGUUGGCAAUCACUUCGAGCCAUAUUCUUCAAUAAUAGAUGUUGUCCUAAAUUAUUAAAGCACUAUAUGGUAGAAGCUCAGUCUGUGGUUUAUAAUAAAGCUUACAGAAGUACUUGUAAAUAAGUAUCUUCUACGUCAACAUUCCAAACUAAUGGGCAUGGAAAACAAGAAAAUUUGUCAUCCAUGCCAAUCAACAUAUGAAAAAUAAUGGCAAAUCCUCUAGCAUUCUGGAAGAGAAACAAAACUGUAGUGGUCUAUUUGGUUUCUUAGAAAAUGUUUGUUUGGUAGCAAAACAAAUUUUCUAAAAAAAAAUAAAUAAAACCUACAAGAACAGUCAAAAGAAUCAAACCUUGAGGACUGCUUGUCAUCAAUUUUCACAAGACAUGAAGAGCGAUGAUCGGCAACACAAUACUUGCAACCUCGAGCUAUCCGGCAAGGCAAACCUAUGUAGUCCGCCAAUUUCUGCAUAUGCGAAAACCUAGUACCUGUCAGUAAUCAAUUCCGAAAGAAACAUGCUUUUUAGUAAACUAUAUAUGCUGAUGUCCCUACUCCUACAAUUAAUGGAUAAUCAAGCAUGUCAGCACAUGCAGGCUCACAUAAAAAAAAAAGGAUAUAUUAACACAAAAAUCAAAAUAAAAAAACCUACAUAGUUAAAAUGGGCACCAACACAUUGCAAAGUUGGUUGACGUUAUUUCCUAAAACACUAUGAGUGUUUUACUUUUUUGUGAUUUACAUUCUGAUCAAUUUAAAUAACAGCACAAACAUCUCUUCUUGUAGAAUUUCCUCAAGGAAAACCAAAAAAAUUAAGCAUAAGGGUGUUAUUUUUGGUUAAUAACCGGUAGAAUCAUCUAGUCUAGCAUUCAUUAGCACUAAGAUAACCGAUAACCCUGCAUUAUGAAUUGCUUGAAAGGCCAAUGUUCCAUCUAAUGAUUCUGACAGAAUAAAUGCAAGGAGAAGAGAUCAUUUAUAUUAAAAGAAAUGACAAACCCAAUCUCCCCACAAACACCAGAUAAUAAUAUUAACACAAAUUUGUUAAUUCACCAUGGCAGUCUAAAAUACCUUACUGAGCGAUCAAGGGACGGAGUCCUCUUAAUGCAUCUCUUUUUUCACCAAAACAUAUCCUAGUUGGACACCCCUUUCAUGUCACAAGUAGCCUUACUAACUUUGCAGGCUAAUACACAAAAACCCACCACCUAUUUUAUAAUUGGGUAACUAUUGAUAAUAAUAUACCAUGAUAAAUUGAUAAUCAAUUAUUAUCUAUAAUAACACUUUAGGCCUUAAAUGCCCCAGUUGGAAACCAUUUUAUAGAACCAUGUUAUGAUACGAAACAAAGUAAAUCAGGAAUCAAUCAAAUGUUCAGCAGAGUAGUUGUUUCCAGGAAAUUGCAAAAAGGAAACCUGAAAUUAUUGUUGUCAAGAAAACAUUUAUGCAUGAUAGGGAACAAAGCAUAGCAUCUUGCCACCUUGAAAAGAAUUGCUCUAUGCCUACAGAGCCCCAUUGAUAGGCUGCCGAUCGGUAGCACAAUACACUUCUGAAAAUCUCUCAAUCUCUUGCUAACCAAUUUCCAUUGCUUAUGGAGAUCACCUUGCUCCACCGGAAAACUACCCCUUUAAAUCCAAACAGGCUCAAUACGUAAACAUCAGCUAAAUCAAACAACCAAAUAAAAGGUUAAAGCAAUAAACUACGACGGAGAUGGAAACCUUACCCCAUAUAGAUUGCAACCAGCUUGCCAAGUUGCUCCACCAACACCAAGGUAUUCUCUGAAGCGCAGUAUAAUUGAUGUGCUUUAUCUUCAAGCUCCUUGAGGCGCGAGUCUCCACGUCUAUCAACAAGAACCACCUCCAUGGAUGUAUCAUUGGGUUCUACGGCUUUAAGCGCCAUUAAAGGUGGCAGCCUUCUACCUUCCUCCAAUUCAUUGCACAUCACCCACACAUACGGAUUCAUUCCCAGAAUGUUAUAGAACCCGUCUGAUAUUUUGUCAGUAUAUGACAAGCACCCACUAACCUGAAAAUUUGCAGCAUUUGAGAUUUUCAAACCACUACUAUAUUUUCAUUUAACAGAAUAGAAAAUAGUUCUUCAAUCCUCGUGAAAUCAAAAUAACGUAAACAGAUGAUCCAAAAACUUGCAUUGCUUUUCUCUGAGGCCACGAUCAGAAAAUAGUGCUCAAACCAGUGGUUUUACACAAAGACCAACCGCAAGCUAAAAGAAUAUGAAAAGUAAGAAGACAGUGAGUACCCAAAGACGAUAGGAAACAACGUCGGGAUCGAAGGAGACGGCAUUUCCCUCCGCUCCACUCUCUUGUAAAAAGAGCACAGGCUCACAAGCCAACGACGCUUGAGAAGCGAGUCUUUUAGCAAGCGUGAGCUGCAAAUAGUAGCUCUCCCUUGACUUCUGCGCCGCACUCUCCUUCUCCUCAUCCACCUCUCGCCUCGUCGACUCCUGCGAAUGCGAAUUCGUAUGCGAAUCCUUCAGACCGCUCGACACGUUCCCUUCCACCGUCGUUCCAGAGAACAGGCUCCCAGCAUAGCUACUACCGCUCGACACCCUCGGCAACGACACCUGCCGAUCAAACUGCUGGUCCUUUCCUGCCACCACCUCCGGCACCGGCGCUGGCGGUGGAGGCAACAACACGUCGCGAUCACCUUCAUCGUUCCGCGACCUCAACCUCACGUGACCCGAUCUGUCACCCUUUUUCUCCACCAACCAGUCACAAAAAGCGGCGAGUUGCUUCUUGCUCCGAAACUUAUCGCUUCCCGUGAAUAGAUCAGAAGCAUUGUAAGUCCUAUCAGCAGUCACAUCCUUGGUUGUUCUCGUACCUUUUCUGUUACUUUCGCCUCCAAUCUUCUUCUCGUGAGCCAGCAGCUCCUUGGAAGAUGCAUCGAAUCUGCGGUCGGGAAACUGCCUGGGGAAGAAGUAAGUGGUUCUGUGAGGCAUUUUUACCAGCCUCAACAAACCUUACACCCUCGCUCCCUCGCUUGCCUCUCUCAAUCUCCGACCACUCACAUCCUCAAACCAAACAACAACGCCCUAAUUGACCGUACAAGCUUUCUCUCUCUGCAAGCCUUUUAACGAUCAAAUGAGUUGAUGAGCUCUGAAAGCCUUAAGAUCCCGCACAAACAAUGGUUCAUUGUUGGCGAUUGAUCCAGCGAAGAAGAAGAUAGAUAUAAGAAACAGGGUGAGAAAAGAAAUGUUGGGAGACUUUGGUUGUUAUGGGAAAUGAGAGUGGAUGAGUGGGAAAAAUAAAAGAAGAAGCAACACGUGAGGCGACGGUGGUGGCUAACGGGCGCAGCAUACGUGAAUGCGCACCUUUAUUGCAGGGAGAACACGUAAGGAUGCAGUGCGAGGAGGUUAAGACACGUGAGCAAAAAGGCAUUCGGGUGCGUGAUGCGCACUGUGAACAGGUUAUGGAGAGUCGCAGGGGAACUGAGAGUCGGUCUGGGUGGUCGAAAAUAUUAUUAUUAUAUCUCAAAAAACUGCAUCAUUAUUCUUAUAUCUCCCCAAAAAAUAAAAAAUAAAGGAGCAAUCGUCAUUGGGAACAAGCAGCUUGUGAAAUGACGGAGACGCCCCAGGUGUUUGUUGCGAAUGACGAAGUCAGAGACACCUUUUCUCGACAUCUUCCUCCCAACCCCAACCGCAUCCGCAUCCGCAUGUGACAUCCCUGCUGCCUUCCCCCCUGGCUGUAAAGCCCCCCUCCCCGCUCCCCCUGUCAUCCAUUUUCCCUUUCCCUUCCUUCACUUGAUGUGCGUGAUGCUACCGGUUUUUCCUUUUUCCCCCUUUUUCGUAAUUUUUCCGAUAGCCUAUACAGUAUUCAUACAUGGUGUGUUGCUUCCUUUCCUAAGCUGUGCCUUUUAUUGCGAUUGACAGUUGGUUGUUGAAAGCGUCCACCCAAUUUAUUAUCAAAUCUGUGAGUCAUUGAAUCACUAAAUAAAUAUAUCAUAUUGGUUUCAUGCCACUGCCUAUCAAAUUUCUUUGGUUUGCUUUGAAUGGGACACAUGGACUAAAAUAACAGCCGUCAAUUCAUCAAAAGGCGAUGGUUUGUAAGGGAUUGGCUCUCGAUGCAAUGUAUCGAACCCCCUCGUACUCUUAUUCAUUACCACCUAAUUAAUAACAAGGCAUGAUAAUGGCCUCAAGCCAUGAACUUAUCUGACCGUAUUGGCCAUUAGACGUAGCAUCAUGGAUCGUUCCAAUCAUGAAGCGCAUUAGUGUUGAUCGCCGGAUUUUCCUAGUUUAAAAAACGGACCACUUGCCAUUUUCUAUUUAAAGAAGUGAGGGAAUAGAUCUCGCGCAUUGUGCCUUUGCCCAAAAUAACAAACAGGCCCAUUUUUUAAUCACUUUUCGUGUGGUGGAAGCGAAUCACAUUGGUUUAUAAUUUAUUUUUUUUAGUGCAAAUGAUAAUUAAAUUUGUAGCAUGGAGAAUGAGUCACAUUGAUAUGAUCAUCCCUCGUCUAUGGAUGCAGCGCUGAAGAGAGUAUGCAGAUAGGUCAAGGACUUAAAACAGAGCACAUGCUUGGUGAAAGAGGGAAUGUCACUGG